Molecule: ribosomal RNA, 468 nt
Filed under: uncultured bacterium
Lineage: Bacteria
Description: partial 16S ribosomal RNA
Rfam family: Bacterial small subunit ribosomal RNA
Source: RNAcentral
GACGAACGCUGGCGGCGUGCUUAACACAUGCAAGUCGAACGGAAAGGCCCUGCUUUUGUGGGGUGCUCGAGUGGCGAACGGGUGAGUAACACGUGAGUAACCUGCCCUUGACUUUGGGAUAACUUCAGGAAACUGGGGCUAAUACCGGAUAGGAGCUCCUGCUGCAUGGUGGGGGUUGGAAAGUUUCGGCGGUUGGGGAUGGACUCGCGGCUUAUCAGCUUGUUGGUGGGGUAGUGGCUUACCAAGGCUUUGACGGGUAUCCGGCCUGAGAGGGUGACCGGCCACAUUGGGACUGAGAUACGGCCCAGACUCCUACGGGAGGCAGCAGUGGGGAAUAUUGCACAAUGGGCGGAAGCCUGAUGCAGCAACGCCGCGUGCAGGAUGACGGCCUUCGGGUUGUAAACCGCUUUCGCCUGUGACGAAGCGUGAGUGACGGUAAUGGGUAAAGAAGCACCGGCUAACUACGUG